GACGAACGCUGGCGGCGUGCCUAAUACAUGCAAGUAGAACGCUGAAGGAGGAGCUUGCUUCUCUGGAUGAGUUGCGAACGGGUGAGUAACGCGUAGGUAACCUGCCUGGUAGCGGGGGAUAACUAUUGGAAACGAUAGCUAAUACCGCAUAAUAGUAGAUGUUGCAUGACAUUUGCCUAAAAGGUGCAAUUGCAUCACUACCAGAUGGACCUGCGUUGUAUUAGCUAGUUGGUGGGGUAACGGCUCACCAAGGCGACGAUACAUAGCCGACCUGAGAGGGUGAUCGGCCACACUGGGACUGAGACACGGCCCAGACUCCUACGGGAGGCAGCAGUAGGGAAUCUUCGGCAAUGGACGGAAGUCUGACCGAGCAACGCCGCGUGAGUGAAGAAGGUUUUCGGAUCGUAAAGCUCUGUUGUAAGAGAAGAACGAGUGUGAGAGUGGAAAGUGCACACUGUGACGGUAUCUUACCAGAAAGGGACGGCUAACUACGU
RNAcentral lists this ribosomal RNA (494 nucleotides) under uncultured bacterium. RNAcentral describes it as "partial 16S ribosomal RNA". It matches the Rfam family "Bacterial small subunit ribosomal RNA", at positions 28 to 506 of the family's 1533-position model. The record is from RNAcentral.